ACAGGUGGUGCGAUGGUUGUCGUCAGCUCGUGUCGUGAGAUGUUGGUUAAGUCCCGCAACGAGCGCAACCCUUAUUGCUAGUUACCAUCAUUAAGUUGGGGGACUCUAGCGAGACUGCCAGUGAUAAACUGGAGGAAGGUGGGGAUGACGUCAAAUCAUCAUGCCCCUUAUGACCUGGGCUACAAACGUGAUACAAUGGCUGAAACAAAGGGCAGCGAAGCAGUGAUGUGGAGCGAAACCCAAAAAAGCAGUCUCAGUUCGGAUUGAAGUCUGCAACUCGACUUCAUGAAGUUGGAAUCGCUAGUAAUCGUAGAUCAGAACGCUACGGUGAAUACGUUCUCGGGGUUU
This 348-nucleotide ribosomal RNA is filed under the name uncultured Acholeplasma sp. RNAcentral describes it as "bacterial SSU rRNA". It matches the Rfam family "Bacterial small subunit ribosomal RNA", at positions 1034 to 1382 of the family's 1533-position model. Lineage: Bacteria; Bacillati; Mycoplasmatota; Mollicutes; Acholeplasmatales; Acholeplasmataceae. The record is from RNAcentral.